UCCCUCUUAGCUCAGUUGGUUAUAGUGUUAGCUUUGGAUUUGUAACCCAAGUUGGCCUAUGGUUUUGGGUUCGAAUCCCAUCCUUGGCA
This is a non-coding RNA of Mycena metata, 89 nucleotides long. Lineage: Eukaryota; Fungi; Basidiomycota; Agaricomycetes; Agaricales; Mycenaceae. The record is from the annotation of a GenBank genome assembly.